This 1166-nucleotide ribosomal RNA is filed under the name Acinetobacter baumannii. RNAcentral's name for it is "bacterial SSU rRNA". It matches the Rfam family "Bacterial small subunit ribosomal RNA", at positions 82 to 1244 of the family's 1533-position model. Lineage: Bacteria; Pseudomonadati; Pseudomonadota; Gammaproteobacteria; Moraxellales; Moraxellaceae. The record is from RNAcentral.
GCUACUGGACCUAGCGGCGGACGGGUGAGUAAUGCUUAGGAAUCUGCCUAUUAGUGGGGGACAACAUCUCGAAAGGGAUGCUAAUACCGCAUACGUCCUACGGGAGAAAGCAGGGGAUCUUCGGACCUUGCGCUAAUAGAUGAGCCUAAGUCGGAUUAGCUAGUUGGUGGGGUGAAGUCCUACCAAGGUAACGAUCUGUAGCGGGUCUGAGAGGAUGAUCCGCCACACUGGGACUGAGACACGGCCCAGACUCCUACGGGAGGCAGCAGUGGGGAAUAUUGGACAAUGGGGGGAACCCUGAUCCAGCCAUGCCGCGUGUGUGAAGAAGGCCUUAUGGUUGUAAAGCACUUUAAGCGAGGAGGAGGCUACUUUAGUUAAUACCUAGAGAUAGUGGACGUUACUCGCAGAAUAAGCACCGGCUAACUCUGUGCCAGCAGCCGCGGUAAUACAGAGGGUGCGAGCGUUAAUCGGAUUUACUGGGCGUAAAGCGUGCGUAGGCGGCUUAUUAAGUCGGAUGUGAAAUCCCCGAGCUUAACUUGGGAAUUGCAUUCGAUACUGGUGAGCUAGAGUAUGGGAGAGGAUGGUAGAAUUCCAGGUGUAGCGGUGAAAUGCGUAGAGAUCUGGAGGAAUACCGAUGGCGAAGGCAGCCAUCUGGCCUAAUACUGACGCUGAGGUACGAAAGCAUGGGGAGCAAACAGGAUUAGAUACCCUGGUAGUCCAUGCCGUAAACGAUGUCUACUAGCCGUUGGGGCCUUUGAGGCUUUAGUGGCGCAGCUAACGCGAUAAGUAGACCGCCUGGGGAGUACGGUCGCAAGACUAAAACUCAAAUGAAUUGACGGGGGCCCGCACAAGCGGUGGAGCAUGUGGUUUAAUUCGAUGCAACGCGAAGAACCUUACCUGGCCUUGACAUACUAGAAACUUUCCAGAGAUGGAUUGGUGCCUUCGGGAAUCUAGAUACAGGUGCUGCAUGGCUGUCGUCAGCUCGUGUCGUGAGAUGUUGGGUUAAGUCCCGCAACGAGCGCAACCCUUUUCCUUACUUGCCAGCAUUUCGGAUGGGAACUUUAAGGAUACUGCCAGUGACAAACUGGAGGAAGGCGGGGACGACGUCAAGUCAUCAUGGCCCUUACGGCCAGGGCUACACACGUGCUACAAUGGUCGGUACAAAG